This 279-nucleotide ribosomal RNA is filed under the name unidentified marine bacterioplankton. Its description in RNAcentral is "partial 16S ribosomal RNA". It matches the Rfam family "Bacterial small subunit ribosomal RNA", at positions 59 to 339 of the family's 1533-position model. The record is from RNAcentral.
AAGUCGAGGGGCAGCACGUCUUCGGAUGGUGGCGACCGGCGCACGGGUGCGUAACGCGUAUAGAACUUACCUUUUACAGAGGGAUAGCCUUUAGAAAUGAAGAUUAAUACCUCAUAGUAUUGAAUUUUGGCAUCAAGAUUUAAUUAAAGAUUUAUCGGUAAAAGAUGGCUAUGCGUCCUAUUAGCUAGAUGGUGAGGUAACGGCUCACCAUGGCGACGAUAGGUAGGGGUCCUGAGAGGGAGAUCCCCCACACUGGUACUGAGACACGGACCAGACUCC